AAAUUGAAGAGUUUGAUCAUGGCUCAGAUUGAACGCUGGCGGCAGGCCUAACACAUGCAAGUCGAACGGUAACAAGAAGCAGCUUGCUGCUUCGCUGACGAGUGGCGGACGGGUGAGUAAUGUCUGGGAAACUGCCUGAUGGAGGGGGAUAACUACUGGAAACGGUGGCUAAUACCGCAUAACGUCGCAAGACCAAAGAGGGGGACCUUCGGGCCUCUUGCCAUCAGAUGUGCCCAGAUGGGAUUAGCUUGUUGGUGAGGUAA
RNAcentral lists this ribosomal RNA (263 nucleotides) under Salmonella enterica subsp. enterica serovar Muenchen. Its description in RNAcentral is "partial 16S ribosomal RNA". It matches the Rfam family "Bacterial small subunit ribosomal RNA", at positions 1 to 260 of the family's 1533-position model. RNAcentral also lists the same sequence under 1 other name. The record is from RNAcentral. Lineage: Bacteria; Pseudomonadati; Pseudomonadota; Gammaproteobacteria; Enterobacterales; Enterobacteriaceae.